Molecule: ribosomal RNA, 468 nt
Filed under: uncultured bacterium
Lineage: Bacteria
Description: partial 16S ribosomal RNA
Rfam family: Bacterial small subunit ribosomal RNA
Source: RNAcentral
GACGAACGCUGGCGGCAUGCUUAACACAUGCAAGUCGAACGGAAAGGCCCUGCUUUUGUGGGGUGCUCGAGUGGCGAACGGGUGAGUAACACGUGAGUAACCUGCCCUUGACUUUGGGAUAACUUCAGGAAACUGGGGCUAAUACCGGAUAGGAGCUCCUGCUGCAUGGUGGGGGUUGGAAAGUUUCGGCGGUUGGGGAUAGACUCGCGGCUUAUCAGCUUGUUGGUGGGGUAGUGGCUUACCAAGGCUUUGACGGGUAGCCGGCCUGAGAGGGUGACCGGCCACAUUGGGACUGAGAUACGGCCCAGACUCCUACGGGAGGCAGCAGUGGGGAAUAUUGCACAAUGGGCGGAAGCCUGAUGCAGCAACGCCGCGUGCGGGAUGACGGCCUUCGGGUUGUAAACCGCUUUCGCCUGUGACGAAGCGUGAGUGACGGUAAUGGGUAAAGAAGCACCGGCUAACUACGUG